AUGUGACAUGACACUGCGAGUGCCCUCUGACAGAUUUUCUAAGAACUUAUUGACUUGCCCUCAUAUUAUGCCUUUAAUAUCCGUAAAAUAUUAUUAAAAUAUUUAUUAUUAUUAAUCAUUUUUAUAUAAGCGCAAUUUGCAAAUAACGAAAACAUCUUGUUAGUUGCUGCAUCUUAAAGUGUUUAAAUAAUGUUUAAGUAACGAUAUAAUUUUAUAUACCUAUCCUAGUUCUACAACUGCGCGCCAAAAUUCAUUUUCAGUCUUUAAACGUAAUUUUAAACUAAACUAGGAGUAGUAGGAUAAUUUUACAAAUUAAAGUAAAUGUCAUUAUAAUAACUUAUACAAUACAGUAACAUGAGCCGGUUGUUCCAUCUUCAGAUAAACUACUGAGCACAAAAAGAAUUCAGUUAUGUCUUCAAUUUUAAGUUCAUUUUCAAAUGUAAAAAAAAUUCUUUUCAGAAUUGUUCAGAAAAAGAAUUCUUUUGUGUCUGAAAGUGAAUUCUAAAUUGACAUAACAACUGAAUUCUUUUUGAACUCUCUGUGCUAUUUGGUAUGUGAUAAUUUACCAAUUAGAUAAAUAAAAGAGUAAAAGAAUGAAAGCAUAAUUUAUCGAAAAGUCGGACAACCUAACUUAAGAAUGUUAUUUUUAAGGAUGAUUAUUUAGAGUACAGACUGCACCUUCGAUUUUGAUUAAAUUAGGCUCAUUCGACGCGUUUUUGCUCGAAACGAAAGAAUGCAAGAAAAACGUUAGGUCGGUCCCGCGUACCAAGAUAUUAAGCAUUAAAGUUAAUUACUAUUGAGGUUAGGAAAUCUGUUACAGAAGUAAAAUGAGUGUCUAGAAUUGUACUGGGUUUCGACUUUCGCGAAACGACUCUCACCCCUCCCCCCCCCCUGCAAAGGGAUGUAUGGCUUCUAUUAUAGGUGCGUUUGGCAUUGCAAAUCGGAGGCAUCAGUUUGCUCUUUUACCUCGAAAUUUAGCAACUCGCAUCUUUCUGCUACAUGUCAUCUGCAUUCGAUAUUAAUAUUUCUAGAGCCUUUAGGUUUUAGUCUAGAAUCUUUAGUCUAAAGUCUAGAAGUUUUAGUCAUCGUUUUGGCAUUUUGGGCAAUGCUAACGCCAGAGUGUUUUGGAAAGCUCUUAAGGUGUGCUAUAAGAAUAUGCAAUGGAUAAAAAAUGAGGUGUUCCAUUAAAAAAAAUCAAUCUUAACCUGACCUUGGUGACGUCACCCAAGAUCAAACUAGCGCCAGUAAAUAGAUCUUUAGAAAUCCUACAACUUUUGUUUGAACACUUUUUCGAUUGUGCCUUAUCCUGCGAAAAUAAAAGAAUGGUAUGGGUAGUCUGAAACACCCGGUA
Acromyrmex echinatior (Panamanian leafcutter ant) is the source of this 1351-nucleotide long non-coding RNA. Lineage: Eukaryota; Metazoa; Arthropoda; Insecta; Hymenoptera; Formicidae. The record is from RefSeq and is a predicted model, not a curated record.